AUCCCUGAAAGAUGAUCAGGUUGAUAGGUCCGGGGUGGAAGCGCGGUGACGCGUGCAGCUGACGGAUACUAAUCGAUCGAGGACUUAACCA
RNAcentral lists this ribosomal RNA (91 nucleotides) under Heyndrickxia coagulans DSM 1 = ATCC 7050. Its description in RNAcentral is "Bacillus coagulans DSM 1 = ATCC 7050 23S rRNA. Bacterial LSU". It matches the Rfam family "Bacterial large subunit ribosomal RNA", at positions 2833 to 2925 of the family's 2925-position model. Lineage: Bacteria; Bacillati; Bacillota; Bacilli; Caryophanales; Bacillaceae. The record is from RNAcentral.